UAGUCGUACAGCGAGCCGUUCUCGUGGUAGUGGGUGAUCAGCCACAGCUGGGUGCUGGAGUUACGAGAAGUCAUGUCCGACGCCAUGAACUCUGGGAGGAGUCAAAGAGAAGACGCGUCAGUUGAGGUUUUCUACGUCGCAGACUCACCAAGUAUGUUUUCAUGCCGCAGCAGCACCGUGCUGUAGAUUUCCGUUUCUCUGAACCAAGACUUUUCAUCUCUGGAGGAGAAGAUUUUCACCGCCACGUUCUCGCCCUGCCACUGGCCUCGCCACACCUCGCCAUACCGGCCCUUACCUGAGGAGGACAAACCGACGACUGACUGCAAGGACUAGAAUCUGUAUUUUGAACUUUCCAGAUGAAUUUUUUAAAGAAAAAAAAUAAAGCAUAUUUAAAAUGUAAGUUUUAAACAGAAAUUCUUCAGGCACUGUUACUUUAAAUCCAUUAACAACAAAUCCUGAAAAUGUUUUCUACAGUUUUUCCAUCCUCAAAGAUUUUCUGACCACAGAUCUGGUAGAUUUAUGAAAAGAAGAUUUAGCAACAAUUAAAUAAAAAAAAAUCUGGAGAAAAAAAAAA
Oryzias melastigma (Indian medaka) is the source of this 574-nucleotide long non-coding RNA. RefSeq lists it as uncharacterized. The transcript is spliced from 2 exons. The record is from RefSeq and is a predicted model, not a curated record. NCBI's taxonomy places the organism in Eukaryota, Metazoa, Chordata, Actinopteri, Beloniformes, Adrianichthyidae.